CCUACGGGGUGCAGCAGUGGGGAAUAUUGGACAAUGGGCGAAAGCCUGAUCCAGCCAUGCCGCGUGUGUGAAGAAGGCCUUCGGGUUGUAAAGCACUUUCAGUGGGGAAGAAAGCCUUGGGGCUAAUACCCUCGAGGAAGGACAUCACCCACAGAAGAAGCACCGGCUAACUCCGUGCCAGCAGCCGCGGUAAUACGGAGGGUGCGAGCGUUAAUCGGAAUUACUGGGCGUAAAGCGCGCGUAGGCGGUCUGAUAAGCCGGUUGUGAAAGCCCCGGGCUCAACCUGGGAACGGCAUCCGGAACUGUCAGGCUAGAGUGCAGGAGAGGAAGGUAGAAUUCCCGGUGUAGCGGUGAAAUGCGUAGAGAUCGGGAGGAAUAACAGUGGCGAAGGCGGCCUUCUGGACUGACACUGACGCUGAGGUGCGAAAGCGUGGGUAGCAAACAGGAUUAGAUACCCCAGUAGUC
Molecule: ribosomal RNA, 465 nt
Filed under: Vreelandella stevensii
Lineage: Bacteria; Pseudomonadati; Pseudomonadota; Gammaproteobacteria; Oceanospirillales; Halomonadaceae
Description: partial 16S ribosomal RNA
Rfam family: Bacterial small subunit ribosomal RNA
Source: RNAcentral